CUCAAGGGAGAUUAUCACCGCCGGAGCGCCGCGUCGCCUCGGCC
This 44-nucleotide unclassified non-coding RNA is filed under the name Sorangium cellulosum So ce56. Lineage: Bacteria; Pseudomonadati; Myxococcota; Polyangiales; Polyangiaceae. The record is from RNAcentral.